CCUACGGGUGGCUGCAGUGGGGAAUAUUGCACAAUGGGCGCAAGCCUGAUGCAGCCAUGCCGCGUGUGUGAAGAAGGCCUUCGGGUUGUAAAGCACUUUCAGCGGAGAGGAAGGCGGUGAGGUUAAUAACCUCAUCGAUUGACGUUACCCGCAGAAGAAGCACCGGCUAACUCCGUGCCAGCAGCCGCGGUAAUACGGAGGGUGCAAGCGUUAAUCGGAAUUACUGGGCGUAAAGCGCACGCAGGCGGUCUGUCAAGUCGGAUGUGAAAUCCCCGGGCUCAACCUGGGAACUGCAUUCGAAACUGGCAGGCUAGAGUCUUGUAGAGGGGGGUAGAAUUCCAGGUGUAGCGGCGAAAUGCGUAGAGAUCUGGAGGAAUACCGGUGGCGAAGGCGGCCCCCUGGACAAAGACUGACGCUCAGGUGCGAAAGCGUGGGGAGCAAACAGGAUUAGAUACCCCAGUAGUC
Molecule: ribosomal RNA, 465 nt
Filed under: uncultured Klebsiella sp.
Lineage: Bacteria; Pseudomonadati; Pseudomonadota; Gammaproteobacteria; Enterobacterales; Enterobacteriaceae
Description: bacterial SSU rRNA
Rfam family: Bacterial small subunit ribosomal RNA
Source: RNAcentral